This 689-nucleotide ribosomal RNA is filed under the name uncultured bacterium. RNAcentral's name for it is "bacterial SSU rRNA". It matches the Rfam family "Bacterial small subunit ribosomal RNA", at positions 128 to 859 of the family's 1533-position model. The record is from RNAcentral.
GCCCUUCACUACGGAAUAGCCUCUGGAAACGGAGAGUAAUACCGUAUGCGCCCUUCGGGGAAAGAUUUAUCGGUGAAGGAUUAGCCCGCGUCUGAUUAGAUAGUUGGUGGGGUAACGGCCUACCAAGUCGACGAUCAGUAGCUGGUUUGAGAGGAUGAUCAGCAACACUGGGACUGAGACACGGCCCAGACUCCUACGGGAGGCAGCAGUGGGGAAUCUUAGACAAUGGGCGCAAGUGAUCUAGCCAUGCCGCGUGAGUGACGAAGGCCUUAGGGUCGUAAAGCUCUUUCGCCAGGGAUGAUAAUGACAGUACCUGGUAAAGAAACCCCGGCUAACUCCGUGCCAGCAGCCGCGGUAAUACGGAGGGGGUUAGCGUUGUUCGGAAUUACUGGGCGUAAAGCGCGCGUAGGGGAUUGGAAAGUUGGGGGUGAAAUCCCGGGGCUCAACCCCGAACUGCCUCCAAAACUAUCAGUCUAGAGUUCGAGAGAGGUGAGUGGAAUUCCAAGUGUAGAGGUGAAAUUCGUAGAUAUUUGGAGGAACACCAGUGGCGAAGGGGCUCACUGGCUCGAUACUGACGCUGAGGUGCGAAAGUGUGGGGAGCAAACAGGAUUAGAUACCCUGGUAGUCCACACCGUAAACGAUGAAUGCCAGACGUCGGGGGGCUUGCCUUCGGUGUCACACCUAACGGA